This 643-nucleotide ribosomal RNA is filed under the name uncultured bacterium. RNAcentral describes it as "bacterial SSU rRNA". It matches the Rfam family "Bacterial small subunit ribosomal RNA", at positions 232 to 885 of the family's 1533-position model. The record is from RNAcentral.
CGCGGCCUAUCAGCUUGUUGGUGAGGUAAUGGCUCACCAAGGCUUCGACGGGUAGCCGGCCUGAGAGGGCGACCGGCCACACUGGGACUGAGAUACGGCCCAGACUCCUACGGGAGGCAGCAGUGGGGAAUAUUGCACAAUGGGCGCAAGCCUGAUGCAGCAACGCCGCGUGCGGGAUGACGGCCUUCGGGUUGUAAGCCGCUUUCAGUAGGGACGAAGCUAACGUGACGGUACCUACAGAAGAAGGACCGGCUAACUACGUGCCAGCAGCCGCGGUGAUACGUAGGGUCCGAGCGUUGUCCGGAAUUAUUGGGCGUAAAGGGCUUGUAGGCGGUCCGUCGCGUCAGGAGUGAAAACUCGGGGCUUAACCCCGAGCCUGCUUUUGAUACGGGCGGACUAGAGGGAUGCAGGGGAGAACGGAAUUCCUGGUGGAGCGGUGGAAUGCGCAGAUAUCAGGAGGAACACCGGUGGCGAAGGCGGUUCUCUGGGCAUCACCUGACGCUGAGAAGUGAAAGCGUGGGGAGCAAACAGGCUUAGAUACCCUGGUAGUCCACGCCGUAAACGGUGGGCACUAGGUGUGGGGGACAUUCCACGUUCUCCGUGCCGAAGCUAACGCAUUAAGUGCCCCGCCUGGGGAGUACGG